This 953-nucleotide long non-coding RNA is filed under the name Anas zonorhyncha (Eastern spot-billed duck). RNAcentral describes it as "lncRNA (ENSAZOG00000013544.1)". The record is from RNAcentral. Lineage: Eukaryota; Metazoa; Chordata; Aves; Anseriformes; Anatidae.
AAUCUUUCGGCCGAGCUGAAGUGACCCUCCCUCCCCUACCCCUUCACGCUCUACCCCUCUGCCUGACAUUCCUGACUGGGUGCUGUUUCCCUCCAUGGAAGCUGCUGUGCAGGUCCCCGGGAGGAGGAGAGCCUCCUUCCACUGCAGCCAGCCCAUUGGAGCAAGGAGUGUGCUGAGGAGAGAGGGGGAUGUAUGAUGGACUCUGUACAUAGUGACUGGAGGCCGCGGCGCCACGUCUGUUACACGGAGAGCCUGGCUACAUUGCUCGCUGCCUUGGCCUGGGAUUCCAGUUAUUAUUUUUUUUGUUUUCUAAUUUUAUUUCGCGUUUGUUUACUGAGAUGAGUGCACAGGUGAGACCAAGCAAAAAAAAAAAAAGACAAAGCCAGGACAGAGACAAAGCUACCUCCAUCAAGAUCCUUUUUAAUACAGAAACUGACCGGACUUGUCACCUAAUAAUAAUAAUAAAAAAAAAAACAACACAAAAGAGACGACAAAACAAAAAACAUAAAAAACAGAGCAAAAUCUUGGUAAAAGUGAAAAAAAAAAUAAAAUUUCCUUGUAUUUUAUUUCGUUUUAUUUUACAGUGUGUAAAGGGGGUGGUGCGAGGGCGCUGUGGGAGGGGAAGGGGCUGGGCUGAGGCGCUGCCGCCAUCUUGUGCGGGGGCGGGCAGGGGGCUGCGCGUGCGCGCGGCCGUUACCGGCCUCCACGUGUGGCGGCGGCGCCAUGGGGCGGAAGCUCGACCCGCUGAGGGAGAAGCGCGGCCCCGGGCGCAAGGCCCGCAAGCAGCGGGGGGCCGAGGUGGAGCUGGCCCGCUUCUUGCCCCACGAGGAGGAGAGCGGCAGGAGGAAGCUGUCCAGCCACGCGCGGAGGAGGGCUGCCAAGAGGCGACUGGGAGCAGCCAGCGGCCCGGCGGGGAGGAAGGCGCCGGGAGGAGGGCGGCAGCCGGCAGCUAA